CGGCGGCCAUGGCCCAGGUGAGACGCCCGGUCCCAUUCCGAACCCGGAAGCUAAGGCUGGCACGGCGAUGGUACUGCACCCGACAGGGUGUGGGAGAGUAGCACGCCGCCGCA
This 113-nucleotide ribosomal RNA is filed under the name Bifidobacterium longum. Lineage: Bacteria; Bacillati; Actinomycetota; Actinomycetes; Bifidobacteriales; Bifidobacteriaceae. The record is from RNAcentral.